This 104-nucleotide transfer RNA is filed under the name Endocarpon pusillum Z07020. It matches the Rfam family "tRNA". From Rfam's summary of the family: Transfer RNA (tRNA) molecules are approximately 80 nucleotides in length. Their secondary structure includes four short double-helical elements and three loops (D, anti-codon, and T loops). The record is from Rfam by way of RNAcentral. Lineage: Eukaryota; Fungi; Ascomycota; Eurotiomycetes; Verrucariales; Verrucariaceae.
GGUGCUAUAGUUCAGUGGUCAGAACACCUCGUUGUGGCUACUGUUUAAUUGUUAUGAACUCUUGUGAUUCCGAGGAAACGUGUGUUCGAUUCACACUAGCGCCA